GCUGGCAAACAAGUCCACCGUGGCUUUGAAAAACGCUUUCCUUGAUAAAAUUUAAGCGUUUUAUAAGAGGAUGCCGGGGAAGGUUUUCCGGUUUAUCCCGGAGGGCUUGUAGCUCAGUUGGUUAGAGCGCGCGCUUGAUAAGCGUGAGGUCGGAGGUUCAAGUCCUCCCAGGCCCACCAGUUUAUCCAUUACUUUCAUAAGUGCUUUUAAAAAAUAAGUACUUCUAAAAAGAUUGCUUCUAAAAAGAUUGCUUCUAAAAAGAUUGCUUCUAAAAAGCUUAUCAAAAUUGGCAGGCUUAUUGCUUUUGUGUGAGUAAUCCAAAGUUAAAGCAAAUUAAUGGCAAAAAAACAGUUCAAAUGCUAAAUACUAAGGAGUCAAAAUUCCUUGCAAAGUGAUUUUUACAGCGUCCAUUUGGUUGAUAUAAAUUCCAAAUGCUCAUAGACGUCAAUGCCUAUAUGAAACUAUCGGUUCAAUCAUAUCGCUUUGAGUUAUAUAGAUUUUGUAAUCCCUCUUUUGAUCGUUUUAAACGCUUUAUCCUGAUUUAGGGGCCGUAGCUCAGCUGGGAGAGCACCUGCUUUGCAAGCAGGGGGCGUUCGGGUUCA
Molecule: unclassified non-coding RNA, 602 nt
Filed under: Bartonella henselae
Lineage: Bacteria; Pseudomonadati; Pseudomonadota; Alphaproteobacteria; Hyphomicrobiales; Bartonellaceae
Description: partial 16S-23S ribosomal RNA intergenic spacer
Rfam family: tRNA (bases 103-176)
Source: RNAcentral